Myxocyprinus asiaticus (Chinese sucker) is the source of this 1346-nucleotide long non-coding RNA. RefSeq lists it as uncharacterized. NCBI's taxonomy places the organism in Eukaryota, Metazoa, Chordata, Actinopteri, Cypriniformes, Catostomidae. The transcript is spliced from 3 exons. The record is from RefSeq and is a predicted model, not a curated record.
GUUAGCCGAGCUCGCCAUUAUAAGCGCAGUGGGGGGAAACAUACACCGCAAAUAUCAAGCAUGAACCCCAAAAGGCAUAAGAAAAAGAAGCACAGAAACAUCUAAAACACUGGUGACGCUUAUUUAAAAAUUGCCGGUCUGCGUUUUUGAAAAUAAAAGCACAAACGUUCACGAUCACAGGGCUGCAGUUCCCCAGCCGUCCACCUGCGCCAGUCCUCCGCUUUUAUAUACGGAGCUGCGCGAGACAGGGCAGGGUCAAGCACGCGCUGAGAGAAAUAUCGCGAGACUUCCACGCGCUCAGACUCGACUAAUAAUGCGAUCCUGGAUCAGUUUAAUCCGCGGCUGAUUGGAUUUUCUGUAUAGGAAGGAACUAUAGAGGCUGUGCUCAAAUCAGAAGAAAGAAGGUCAAACACAUCUUGGAUGGCAUGAGGGACUCAACGGAAGGGGUCUGAUUACUGGAAAGAGCCCCUGAGUGGCCAUACAUGAGCCAUGCUGUAUCACUCUCUGUGGAACUGCGACACAACAAACACCCAGUUACAACUCACACCAUACAGAAACAAUACAAUAUCACCCUAACAUUGUACAGUAUAAUGCACAGAACUUAGAUCUAAGUCACCAGGGUUGUGUGGCAUAGUGUAACUGGAUCCUUAGUAUGCAUCUAUCUAGACAGAAUUUUCAUUUUUGGGUGAGCUAUGGACACUGAGGACGGCCAUCACAGGUGUCCAGUCACAAACUGUAAGCACUCUGGCAUUGGCUGGUUGCAAGCUCUAGUGAAGUGGCCUUGAGCUAAGACUGCCCAGUCGAGAGCUUGGCACACAUACUCACACACGGAGCGCUUGGCUUUUAUGUAGACAACCAUCAAGACAUUCACAUCACUCAAAAGCCAAUAGCCCUGUUCAGACACUUUUCACAGGCAGCUCUGCCUCCAUUAUUCCAUCAUCAAGAGCAGAUGAGAAGGAGAGAGGAGCCACUACAGACAGAUAAUGUAUUUAUUUCCUUCCAUUUAGCUGCUCGCUGUGGAGUGGAAAGAGAGCACCUUGAUUGGAAUCGAAUGGACAUUUAAACGUCUGGAACACCAACAGGGAAUGAGACAGGGAGAGAGAAAAACAGAUGGACUAAAAGAGAGAUGAAGGAGCAGUUGUGGGAAAUGAGAGAACGAGUGAUGAAAGCAAGAAUGAUUCCCAAGAGAUUACAAAAUGUAAUCUACAGGCUCAAAGCAGCAAUUUGAGCUAUAAAGAGUAUUUUUUAUUUAUUUUUUUUAAAUCAAGGGUCUCCUGCAAGUUGCAAUCAAGGGUCUCUCACAAGGCAGUUGAAAUAAAAAUACAGAAUAGACGAAAAAGACAAAA